AGACCGAUAGCGAACAAGUAGAGUGAUCGAAAGAUGAAAAGCACUUUGGAAAGAGAGUUAAAAAGCACGUGAAAUUGUUGAAAGGGAAGCGCUUGCAACCAGACUUGUCGGCGGUGUUCCACCGGUCUUCUGACCGGUUCAUUCGCCGUCGGCAGGCCAGCAUCAUCUGGGGCCGCUGGAUAAAGGCGGUGGGAAUGUAGCUCCCCUCGGGGAGUGUUAUAGCCCAUCGCACAAUACAGCGCGCCCCGGGUGAGGUCCGCGUCUCGGCAAGGAUGCUGGCGUAAUGGUUGUAAGCGGCCCGUCUUGAAACACGGACCAAG
RNAcentral lists this ribosomal RNA (320 nucleotides) under dematiaceous sp. CL103. RNAcentral's name for it is "LSU rRNA". It matches the Rfam family "Eukaryotic large subunit ribosomal RNA", at positions 331 to 670 of the family's 3401-position model. Lineage: Eukaryota; Fungi; Ascomycota. The record is from RNAcentral.